This 227-nucleotide long non-coding RNA is filed under the name Manihot esculenta (cassava). Its description in RNAcentral is "long non-coding RNA (MESC_LNC000178)". Lineage: Eukaryota; Viridiplantae; Streptophyta; Magnoliopsida; Malpighiales; Euphorbiaceae. The record is from RNAcentral.
UAAUUUUUAUGCAUGUUGUUGAUCAUGUAUGGGAUUAUACAGGUUUACAGGUUUUAUGUCAGGCUUGCUACGGGUCCCGGCGGCCUUAAGUCGACCCGGAUCCUAGCGCCGGUAGCGGUCCGAUUUUCGGGUCGUUACAGAAUGGUAUCAGAGCCCUAGGUUCAUAUGGUCGGACCUAGAGUGUCGGGCUCAUAGAUGUUAUAGAAGGUCAAGCACAAUAGGAAAAG